Long non-coding RNA from Helianthus annuus (common sunflower), 2837 nucleotides. RefSeq lists it as uncharacterized. The transcript has 4 exons. NCBI's taxonomy places the organism in Eukaryota, Viridiplantae, Streptophyta, Magnoliopsida, Asterales, Asteraceae. The record is from RefSeq and is a predicted model, not a curated record.
UUUCUUUACCCGACCCUUUGCUUCCACGUAAGCCAGCUCAUACCAUACCGAACUACUGGAAGUGUUUCCGUACCGGUACAACGUCAUCCUCGAAGCUUCCAUAUCUUCAUCACUAAACCCUAACGCCUUUUGCAGAGCAUCCAGCACCGCCUUACCGCCGACGUGAGGAAGAAAGUGAUCGACGGCGUUGCCGUAACUAGAAUUAGGCGACCUACGGUGAUUAGGUUAGGUUUGAUUGUGGAUAUGGCCGAUGCGAGGAGGUCUUUGUUGAUGGUGAUGCCGAUUAUUCCGGCGGUGUCUUCUUCGCGAAGGAUGCAGUUGUAGGAUCGAUCGGAACUUGAUGUGUUGGUGUGUAUUGCGUGUAGGAAUUGAUAUUUGGAGGUUUUGUGAUCGGACUGGCGGUUGGAGAGGAGGAUCGCGGCGCCUCCAACGCGGAACAGGCAGUUGAUGAGGAAUUUGGAUCGAUCUUCUCCGAGCAAAAUCGCAUGUUCAAGAGUGAAUUCGCACCGGAUUGUACGGCUGGGAUGAUCGCGUACAUUUUGUACGAUAAGAGCCAUUUUCUAGUGACACAAGACAAAAUUUCAGCACGGAAUUGGACACCAGAUGGGAAAUGAUUUGGUAAGUAAGCUUCUAAAGUCUUCAAUAAUACUUGUGCAUGCAUAUGACCGGUCACAAGUAUUAAUGUAUUCAAUAAAAGGCGGUCAAAUGGGUGAGCCGUGUGGGUUUAGUAAGGUGAUAAAACGGUUUUGCUUCAUACCGAGUAUUGCUUUGUAUGGGGUGAAACAAGUCAAGCCGUGCUGAGUUGACCUAAAACACUAUUUGUCAUUCUUUUUUUUCCUUUCCAUUUUAGAAUUUAUUGUGUGUUAAAUUAGAAAGAAACAUAUUUUGAUGCAACAAUAGUAUACUAUUUUGAACAAAGCGAUUUAGUAGAUUGUUACAACAAUAGCAUUUAAAAUACAUCUUGGGUGACUUUCGACCCGUUUCUUUUUAGCUAAGUGUUUUGACUCGUUAAAGAUGAAACAUAAACCAAAACGUUCCAUUUCUAAGUGAAUAUCCAUCGCUAGUGUUUGUUGUUUUAGAUAACAAGUGUAUUAGAAUAGAUAUGACGUUGAAGUACUUUGUUUUAUAGGCGGUUAAACUAACUACAUAAAAGGAAAAGUUUUGGUAUUUUGGUCUUUGAUUUAGUACAACUUUAGAGAUACAAUAAGUUUGUUGGACUGGAAUUAGCGAUUUUAACCGACAUGGUAGUUAGGCCAGUAGGCUUAAAAGAGUCUUUGGUGGUAUUUAAACAUGCUUAUAGCCGAACAAUACAUGUGGACAAAUUCCCACUUUCCUUUUUUUUUUACUUUGAUUUGCCGUCUAGACUUUGGUGAAGUCGACCCUUAUAAACAUCCUGUACGGUUGCAUUUAGGUAUACCCAACCCUUGAAUGGUUGUAGUUUACAUUGUGUAUUGCAAACAACACAUUUAUUGAACUAACAUGGUUGCAUUGCUACACUAAUAGCAUACAUGUUUAACAGGUCUUAAAGUGAAGACCUAGGAUCACUUUAAGAACGUUUAAUAAUAAAAUUGGACUUCGCUAACUACCUAUGCGCAAAGUUUUAAAAAUUUGGUUUGUAAAGAUUAUGAUACUGAUUUUAUAUCGACAACUAAUGAGAUCUAUGGGUACCUACGACCUCGUGGUCCAGUGGUAUGGUGUUUGCCCACAUAAAAGUGAGGUGAGUUUAAAUCCUUGCUAGGUGGUAUAUAGGUGUAAAAAAUUGCAGUUGAUUGAUUUCCUCUUUUUGCAACAUAUGAUACACCUUAAAUAAUAUUUUGAUGAUUUGUAACAACUAAGAGCAUUCACAAUGGAUCCCCUAUAUAUUUGUGAGUAGGUUAUUUAUAUUAUAAGGAAUGGUUGUGAGUGGUUUUUAGUGGAGGAAAGAGAAAAUGUUACUAUUCAUAUGUAAAUAUACGCUAAACACUGUUCACCCCUAUACAAUUUUUAAUAUUUUUUGAAAGUGUUGUGAGUGGAGGAGAGAGAAAAGGUAAUGAUAAAGGUAUAAAAAAUAUUAUUUAAUCGGAAAAAAGAGAGAAAACUAGUGAUUUUUAGUGUAACUAUAGGAAUAAGGAUAAGGGAUUGAAUGUGAAUGCUCUCAAUAGAAAAUGAAAGAUAACUUGAAGGAACUGUUUAGCAAGUCCUAUUGCCAAAAGUUCUGCACUGCAUCCCAUCCUGUUAACUAUAAUGCUAUGUAGGUGUGUCCUUCAUUAAAAAAUUUGAAUUUACAUUAUGUUCUAAGAGCUUAUAAAUUAUAACAUGUAUUCACAUGUUUUUUUAAGAAUUAUUUACACAUAUGAUUCAUGUGGUCUGUCUUGAUGUAGUUUUGCUCCUCAAGUCUGGUAAAUUAUAUGCUUGGUCCAAAAUUAUGCACGAACGUAACACGUUUGGCAUCUAGAUGUUAAUACAUCUUUUUAUUUAUAUACAUUAUAAUAUAAUGAUCUAGACAUUACAUCCACUAGUCAUGUUAAAACACAUGAUAUUAUCAAUAUAGUUUCGAUUUGAAAUGUAAUUGCAACAUUACAUUUUAACUGGUAACUAAUUUUAUAAAGCUGAUUCAGAAAAGGAAAUAUUCGAACAACUUAAAAAAUUAAAACAAAAUAUUAUUGAAAUUAACUUGAAGGUGCGAAAGCUAUUGGAAAAGGUCCAAAUUCCGUAGUAGUCACCGGAUAUCGAGCAAUCUCAUCCAUCCAAGGGUUAUCAGCACCAUGAUUAACGGUCUUCAUUGCACGCCAAAUAACACUACUACACUUAAAACCCGACCCGAACGCGAGCUGCCAGACCUUAUCACCUUCUUUGAC